GUGCUCACUUCGGCAGCAGAUAUGCUAAAAUUGGAAUGAUACAGAGAUUAGCAUGGCCCCUGUGCAAGGAUGACACGCAGAUUCGUGAAGUGUUCCAUAUUUUC
Molecule: small nuclear RNA, 104 nt
Organism: Ochotona curzoniae (black-lipped pika)
Lineage: Eukaryota; Metazoa; Chordata; Mammalia; Lagomorpha; Ochotonidae
Source: RefSeq, a predicted model, not a curated record